RNAcentral lists this transfer-messenger RNA (363 nucleotides) under Salmonella enterica. It matches the Rfam family "transfer-messenger RNA". Rfam says of the family: Bacterial tmRNA, also known as 10Sa RNA or SsrA, is named for its dual tRNA and mRNA-like properties. The record is from RNAcentral. Lineage: Bacteria; Pseudomonadati; Pseudomonadota; Gammaproteobacteria; Enterobacterales; Enterobacteriaceae.
GGGGCUGAUUCUGGAUUCGACGGGAUUUGCGAAACCCAAGGUGCAUGCCGAGGGGCGGUUGGCCUCGUAAAAAGCCGCAAAAAAAUAGUCGCAAACGACGAAAACUACGCUUUAGCAGCUUAAUAACCUGCUUAGAGCCCUCUCUCCCUAGCCUCCGCUCUUAGGACGGGGAUCAAGAGAGGUCAAACCCAAAAGAGAUCGCGCGGAUGCCCUGCCUGGGGUUGAAGCGUUAAAACGAAUCAGGCUAGUCUGGUAGUGGCGUGUCCGUCCGCAGGUGCCAGGCGAAUGUAAAGACAGACUAAGCAUGUAGUACCGAGGAUGUAGGAAUUUCGGACGCGGGUUCAACUCCCGCCAGCUCCAUCA